This 7229-nucleotide long non-coding RNA is filed under the name Gossypium barbadense (sea-island cotton). RNAcentral describes it as "long non-coding RNA (GBAR_LNC002368)". The record is from RNAcentral. Lineage: Eukaryota; Viridiplantae; Streptophyta; Magnoliopsida; Malvales; Malvaceae.
GCACAUCUCAUCAUAUACAAUAGGCAGAUAAACUUUCACAUAAAAGUGAGCUCAUGUGACAUAGAUAUAUCGUAUGAUUUCACAUCACCUCUCACACUGAUCCGAUGUCACAUAAUCAUAGGAAUAGUCUCAUAGAUUGCUCUCGUAUGCAUCACAUAACUACCUUAUGAUUUAGUGCAAAUCAAGCUCACAUAUAAACUUGGAGUACAUACCUGUUUAACCUUUCGCAUUGAAUAUAUUUAUAAGCAAUUCUUAUUACGAAGUCUUACCCGGACAUAAUCUCCACACGAAGUUAUCGGGUCUUACCCGGACAAAAUUCCCACACGUAGUCAUCGGGUCUUUAGAGCUCGGAUAUAGUACGAGCACGAAGCUUACGGACAUUAAUCAGUGAUAAUAUUCUCGCAUAAAGCCUGCGGGGUUUUAACCCGGAUAUAGUACUGACACAAAUGCCCUUCGGGACUUAUCACAUUUAUGCACUUUCACAUCCAUCACGUUGGCCACUCGGCCCUGUCACAUAUAUACACUUUCACAUUCAUCACAUCGGCCAUUAGGGUUUAUCACAUAUAUACACUUUCACAUUCAUCACAUCGGCCAUUAGGCCUUAUUACAUAUAUACACUUUCACAUUCAUCACAUCGGCCAUUAGGCCUUAUCACAUAUAUACACUUUCACAUUCAUCACAUCGGCUAUUAGGCCUUAUCACAUAUAUACACUUUCACAUUCAUCACAUCGGCUAUUAGGCCUUAUCACACAUAUACACUUUCACAUUCAUCACAUCGGCUAUUAGGCCUUAUCACACAUAUACACUUUCACAUUCAUCACAUUGGCCAUUAGGCCUUAUCACAUAUAUAUACACUUUCACAUUCAUCACAUCGGCCAUUAGGCCUUAUCCCAUAUAUACACUUUCACAUUCAUCACAUCGGCUAUUAGGCCUUAUCGCAUAUAUACACUUUCACAUUCAUCACAUCGGCUAUUAGGCCUUAUCACACAUAUACACUUUCACAGUCAUCACAUCGGCCAUUAGGCCUUACUAUCAUUUCAUAUUCGAAUACUCAUAAACUUACAAUAUCACGAUUUAGAAUUCAAGUAUAGGUUUAAUCAAUAGCUUAUGAGCAACUAAAACAAGUUUAUCAAGGUUCACAACAUAAUCUCAAAUUCAGCACAAGCUGUUUUUCCUGAGCAAUAGUCACUAAAUUAUUUAUAACUGGAGCUACAAAACUCCAAAUCACUUUCCGUUAAUUUUUCCUGAAUAUAGACUCGUAUAUCUUUCAUCCAUAAAAUUUCCAGAAUUUUAGGUUUGGCCAAUCAAUACCAGAUUUUUCUUAAAGUUUCCCCUGUUUCACUAUUUGACUAAUCUGACCACUCUUCACUACGAAUCAAAUUUCUCAUUUUACUAAAUUCAAAAUGUGUUGUAUUUGAUUUCAUUUGAAACUAUACUCAUUAAGGAGUCUAAACAUAUAAAUUUUAUCUUAUAACCAUUUUUGUACAAUUUAUAAUGAUUUUCUAAAAACAGAACAGAGGAUUACAGUGUCAUUCUGCGCUGUCUCACACAACUUUAAGUAUCUCAUUAUCGGAAAUUCCUUUGCUUACAUGGUUUCUUUUAUAACAAACUAGACUCAUUAAGCUUUAAUUUCAUGUCUCAUUAAGCCUCUAAUUCAAAUCCAUAAAUUUAUGGUGAUUUUAUAAAGUCACGUUACUGCUGCUGUCCUAAGCAGACUAUUUCAAAUUACCCUUGAAUUCCCAAGCUCAAACACUUAAGAACUUACCAUUUGAGCUUAGAACAUAUCAUGGCCACAUCAUAUCUUAUUAAAUCAACUCAUCAUGUCCUAUUAUAAUUGAAUUUACUCAAUGUUUAAUCACUUAAAACUUACCUCGGAUGUGGUCGAACAAUUUCAGCGGCUAUUCGAUCACUUUUUCCUUUCCCUUAUCCAACUGUGGUCCUCUAAGCUCUUGAGCUAAUUCAAACAAAUUUAACUUAUUAAAGUCUCAUUAUGCUAGCUUAUGGCCGAAUAUGACAAGGAGUUUGAUUGGUCAUAUGGCCACCUUCUAGCUCAACUACACAAUGGUCAUAUGCAUUUUUAAUCACAUCAAGCAAUUUAAUACAAUUCAUUCGAACAUCAAAAGAAAACCUCAAGGUACUUAGCCCAUAUAUACUUUAGGCAUUAGAGUCACAUAUAUAUAUGGAAUCAUGAAUCAAACUCAACAUUUUAGCUAAUAUUCCCCCUUGGCCGAAUUUUCUAAGCCAAGACAAAAGCAUCAAUAUGCUUGCCUCUAACCGAAUACAUGCAACACCAAUCUUCUUCCUAUGGCCGAAUAUGCAUGUCUAUGUUUAGGCCGAUUAUAUACUUAAUACCACACAUAAAUGGCAUACAUUUUACUAACUAAUGCAUUACAUAUUAUUUAACCAUGUAUAUCACCAAUCAAUUUCAUCACAAUUUCACUUAAGCCUAUUCUCAAUACAAUACAUCGUGCUCAAAUCAUUAUUCCAGUUCAAAUUCGGCCAGCACACAUAUACAUACUAGCAACUAUGUAUUAACAUUGCAUUUCAUACUAUAACCGAAUGUAUAGCUCAUCGAAAUAUAUUUAUUCAUGUUCCCUUAACACAUAUUGGUCAACUAGAUCAUGCAUUAUUCUUUGGCACAUUUGGUCAUUAAAGCAAUCACCUAUUUAACUUUCAAGCAUUUUUAUACUAACAUUUCUCCCAAGGCCGAAUUUAUAUACAACCUUUAGUACUCAUUUAAAGUUUAUAUUUUAAGUAAUUAAUAUACACAAUAUUAACCAAAUAUCCAUUUACUAAGCAUUUUAACAAAUUUUCCUUCAACUAUCCACACAUUCGGCAAUCACAUAAUCAAACACUAAACCUUAACUUCCAAGCCAAAACAACUAGCAAUUUCAACACAUCCAACAUAAUUUUCCAUGCUAAUGACAUCAAAACAACUACUAAGAAUUUCAAGCUCCUUGGCCGAAUUUCAAUCUUCCAAAAUAACAAAAAUUUGAGCCAUGAAAUAGGUAGAAUUCAAACUAACCAUUCAAUUUAUGCAUGAAUUUCCAAGAGUAGCAUUGUACAUACCUUGAUCUAGCAAUCUCCUUAGCUGAAAAUUUUAACAACAAAAAGGAAAUUUCUUCUCCACCCUUUCCUAGCUACGGCAAUGGAGGAAUAAACCAACUUUGGUUUCUCCUCCCACUAACACAUUAUUUUUAUUACCCAUACUCUUUUAUUCAUCUUUAAUUCAUCUAAUACAUUUUUUAUUACAUAUUUCUCACCACUAAUAAAUAUAAUAAUAUUAACCCAUGCAUAUAAUGCCCAUACUUAUAAGCUUGGCCGACCACUAGCAUUAAAAGUGGCAAAUUGGCAUGCAAACCCACUUAUUUGCAUCAUUCAAUAAUUAAUCACUUAAAAUAAGCCACACAUAUAUUCAAAGCUUCUCACAUAAGUCCUUUUUAUUUAGAAACACAUUCAAAUUGACAAAAAUCAAAGCAUUCAAAUUUCACACAUGCAUGAUCACAUAUUUUAGACAUAAAAUAUUAUAUUCAAUUAUUUCUGCAACUCGGUUUAGCGGCCCCGAAACCACUUCCCGACUAGGGUCAAAUUAGGGGUGUCACAACUCUUCCCCCCUUUAGGGAUUUUCGUCCCCAAAAAUUUCUACCGAUGCAUAGUUUAGGAUAACGUCCUCUUAUUCAAUUAUAUUCAUAUAAACAUUAGCUCAUCGAUGGCAAUUGUAAUUCAUUAUUGAUUUCGCAUCGAUCUGUAAAAUCAUUUUCUUAUCUUAAAACAAAUACAUAAACAUUUCUACAAGUAUGCACAUAUAUCUCAUUUUCUUGAUUUCAUAAGUAAUAAUCACUUAAUUUAAUUCACAAUUGCAUCUCAAACACAUAUUAAGCACAUAUUAAUAUGUAUAAUUCACAUCAUCAACCCACAUAUUUGUAACCCAUGUUUUCAUUCAUAAAUAAGCUGUAACCUAUCCGAAAGUACACAUAUACUCAAACAUCCCAAUAAAUAUCCUUUAUAACUUUAUCACAUCUCAAUAUUCAACUUAACUCAUUUCCAAAAGAAAAGUCAACUUCCACGUACCUGAACAUUUAGUUCAUUUAGCACAUUCAAUCAUAGUUAACGUUACCCGUAUACAGUCGAAUAGGCAUAAAGCCUAAUAUAAUACUCUGGCAUGAGAUUUAUUCUAGCGCAUAACUCGUAUAUCCAAAAUUAUCAACAUUCAUCAAAAAUUCUUUCAAACUUUCGAAUGUCGAAACUUAAUCAAAAUAAUUUCUUGAACAAGAUUAACAAAAUAGUGUCCAUUCAGCAAUAGCACAUAUAGCUCUUACAAUGCCAUAUCCUAGAUAUGGUCCUACAUAUUCUCACAUAUCGAGCCGAUGCCAUGUCCCAGACAUGGUCUUACACACUAUCUCAAAUCAAUGCCUUCAUCCCAAACGAGGUUUUACAUGAAUUCCACUUCACACACUUAGUGCCCACUGACCGAUCUCGCACUCAUAGUGCUCGGUUAAAGGAAUUCGCACACACACAGUGCCUCUAAUUAUUCACAUACAUAGUGCUCUUAUUCAUUCGUUAAUACACAUUGAUAUGACUUAACCAAGUCUAUAAACAUCAUGUAUGUACACUUUUAAACAUAUCAUCUCAUUUAAAUUUGAAUUCGUAUAGUAAUGAAUACUUAAACUUUGCUCAAAUUACCGGCACGAAGCCUACUAGGCACGAGGGCCCGAAUACACGUCACCAGCAUGAUUGCUCUUCGGGACUUAGCCCGGAUACAUCGCUAGCAUGAAUGCUCUUCGGGACUUAGCCCGGAUUUAGUAACUCGCACCAAUGCCUUCGAAUCUUAGUCCGGAUAUGGUCACUUAGCACAAAGCCUUCGGGACUUAGCCCGGACAUCAUUCGAAUAACCAUGCACAUUUAACAAUAAAUCAUGACACAUUCGUAUUUCAUUUUCAUUAGCAAAACUCAAACACAAGACACUUAUCAUUCUUGCAAUUUCAGCUCAAUAGCCACACACAAAGAGCUUGAUUUUGAUUUGCUUAAAACAUGAUCUAAUCAAAUCAUAAUUUAAGCUCUAUUACUCAAGAACUUACCCCUUUCCGCUGUCCGAAAUCGACUUGGUAAGGUCGCACCCUUAAUAUAAAUAAUUGAUAGAAAAUAUAUAUAUAGUGGGUUCGCACACAUAGUGCUUAAUAAUCAACCACGCACACUUAGUGCCAUGUACUUUAAACUCGCACACUUAGUGCCAUGCAUUUCAAGCCCGCACGCUUAGUGCCAAUCUCACAACCGUGAACACUUAUUGCCCGCACACUUAGUGCCAAUCUCACAACCAUGAACACUUAUUGCCCGCACACUUAGUGCUGAAAACCAACCACUCUAUACGCUUCACUGCCUUUUUACAUUCGACAAUUUCGUCUCUACAUACAUAUACACAUAUAGCAAUACAUAUUAGUAUAUCAUUUACAUUACUUGAAUACAAACACAACAUGCUUAUCGACCAUUCAACUUCCAGUUCCAUAGCCACAUACAAAAAUCACAUUUAUAGUCAUAACACUCCUUCAAAAUUGCAUCACUUAUACCCUUAUAAUUCAAUCCAAAUCAAAAUUCAAAUAUGAGUACAUGAUACGUACCUGAUCAACUGAAUAAUUUAGGCAUAUCUAAAUGAAGUUAUAUCGCAAAUUCUCAUAGUCAGAAGCUUGCUACAGCUCGAUCGGGAUCAAGAUUCAUUACAAUACAGCAAAAACAUUUUAAUAGCCAAAAAUCAUCACACUAUCAUUUUAUCACUUUAUGGCAUGUAUAAAUAGACUCACCCGUGCUACGUUAGUCCUAGAAUCGACUAAACCGUAGCUCUGAUACCAAUAAACUUGUAACAUCCCGUACCCGAGACCGUUGCCGGAGUCGGGCACGAGGGGUUCACAGACUAAAUUCGCUUACUAUCGCAGUCCAUUUUAAAAUUUUCCAGGCAGUUGGCUAACUGCGACACUAUCACCUUAAAAAUCAUAUCUUGAGUUUCACAACUCGAAAAUCGGUUUCGUAAUUUUUCCCUGAAACUAGACUCAUAUGCCCAUCUACAUAUGUUUUUCUAGAAUUUUUGGCUGGGCCAAUUAGUACAGUUUAUUAGUCAAAGUAUCCCAUGUUACAGGGAUCGACUACACUGACCUUUGCGCAUUACGACUUGGAUAUCUCCCUGCACAGAGCUUCAAUACUGAUGCCGUUUGUUUCUAUAGAAACUAGACUCAUAGAGGAAUCUAUAAAUAUAUGGCAUGACUCCUAAUUAUCUCUGGUUAAUUUAUAAUGAAUUUCCAAAGUCGGAACAGGGAAUCCAGAAACCGUUCUGGCCCUGUCUCACGAGAACCUGAAUAUCUCUUAACAUACUGUCCAUAUGAUCAUUUCGUUACAUUCCUAUGAAAAUAGAUUCAUCAAGGUUCGUUUAAAUCAUUUAUUCAUUAUUUAAUUCCAAUCCUACUAUUUUUAGUGAUUUUCCAAAUCUACAUCACUGCUGCUGCCAACAUCUGCCUUUAAGGUAGACUUUACCUAUUUCAUAGUUUCCAUGAUUCAACUAGCCCUUUUAGCAUAAAUAGCACAAAUUAUGAUAGUGAUUAACCAUUCCAUACCAAAUGAUUAUAACAUUAUGCUCAAACAUAUAUAAGCCAUUUUCGCAUGGCUAUAUACAUUAACCAAAAUAUUCUUCCGCCACUAGUCUAUUUUAUACAUGCCAUAAGAUAAUCCAAAACAUAGCAGUACCAAACAGUGGAUAGUGAUAGUGUGACUAGUUGCUGACGAUCCCCGAGCCUGUAGCUUCACAAUGAGAUCUAUAAAACAGAGAAAACAGAGUAAACGGAGUAAGCAUUACAAUGCUUAGUAAGUUUUAAGCAGUGUCAACAGGUAACAAUCAAAUUAUAACAUAGUUGUUCGUAUUUUUAUUUCACUCUUCCUUCGGCCAUACCAUCCCUUUACCGAAUAUGCACAUCUCAUCAUAUACAAUAGGCAGAUAAACUUUCACAUAAAAGUGAGCUCAUGUGAGAUAGAUAUAUCGUAUGAUUUCACAUCACCUCUCACACUGACCCGAUGUCACAUAAUCAUAGGAAUAGUCUCAUAGAUUGCUCUCGUAUGCAUCACAUAAAUACCUUAUGAUUUAGUGCAAAUCAAGCUCACAUAUAAACUUGGAGUACAUACCUGUUUAACCUUUCGCAUUGAAUAUAUUUAUAAUCAAUUCUUAUUACGAAGUCUUACCCGGACAUAAU